This 71-nucleotide transfer RNA is filed under the name Urocitellus parryii (Arctic ground squirrel). RNAcentral describes it as "Spermophilus parryii (Arctic ground squirrel) tRNA". It matches the Rfam family "tRNA". Rfam says of the family: Transfer RNA (tRNA) molecules are approximately 80 nucleotides in length. Their secondary structure includes four short double-helical elements and three loops (D, anti-codon, and T loops). RNAcentral also lists the same sequence under 1 other name. Lineage: Eukaryota; Metazoa; Chordata; Mammalia; Rodentia; Sciuridae. The record is from Rfam by way of RNAcentral.
GGGAAUGUAGCUCAAUGGUAGAGUACCUGCCUUGCAAGUGUGAGUCCCUGGGUUGAAUCCCCAGUACCCCA